This 383-nucleotide ribosomal RNA is filed under the name Agrobacterium tumefaciens. Its description in RNAcentral is "bacterial SSU rRNA". It matches the Rfam family "Bacterial small subunit ribosomal RNA", at positions 989 to 1375 of the family's 1533-position model. Lineage: Bacteria; Pseudomonadati; Pseudomonadota; Alphaproteobacteria; Hyphomicrobiales; Rhizobiaceae. The record is from RNAcentral.
UUGGGCAGUGGACAAAUUGGUUUACAGUUAGGCUGGCCCCAGAACNGGUGCUGCUUGGCUGUCGUCAGCUCGUGUCGUGAGAUGUUGGGUUAAGUCCCGCAACGAGCGCAACCCUCGCCCUUAGUUGCCAGCAUUUAGUUGGGCACUCUAAGGGGACUGCCGGUGAUAAGCCGAGAGGAAGGUGGGGAUGACGUCAAGUCCUCAUGGCCCUUACGGGCUGGGCUACACACGUGCUACAAUGGUGGUGACAGUGGGCAGCGAGACAGCGAUGUCGAGCUAAUCUCCAAAAGCCAUCUCAGUUCGGAUUGCACUCUGCAACUCGAGUGCAUGAAGUUGGAAUCGCUAGUAAUCGCAGAUCAGCAUGCUGCGGUGAAUACGUUCCC